Molecule: ribosomal RNA, 253 nt
Filed under: uncultured bacterium
Lineage: Bacteria
Description: partial 16S ribosomal RNA
Rfam family: Bacterial small subunit ribosomal RNA
Source: RNAcentral
UACGUAGGUGGCAAGCGUUGUCCGGAUUUACUGGGCGUAAAGAGCGCGCAGGCGGUCGGAUCAGUCGAAUGUGAAAGCCCCCGGCUCAACUGGGGAGGGUCAUUCGAUACUGAUCGACUCGAAGGCAGGAGAGGGAAGUGGAAUUCCCGGUGUAGUGGUGAAAUGCGUAGAUAUCGGGAGGAACACCAGUGGCGAAGGCGACUUCCUGGCCUGUUCUUGACGCUGAGGCGCGAAAGCUAGGGGAGCAAACGGG